GCAGAAUCUACGGCAGACAUUUCAGUUGUCCGUUCCAGCUAAGCAGCUUUAAGGAGUUGAAUAAUUGCUUUGCAGAGUCAAGAGGAAGCUGUGGAAGGGAAGACAGAAAGAAUGAACGACUAAAACGGAACAAGCGCCAGAGUGGUGACUCCCUGGCUUGAUUUAUCUGAUGGAAGGAAAUCUGCACAGAGCUCCGGUGGUAUCCCUAUACUGUAACCUUUCCCCCCGCCAGAUGUUCCUCUCUCAAAACACGAAGCGACAAGGACAGUGACACGGCGUUGGGGGACAAGGAAGAGAGACCCAGACGGAGCGAUAGACAGACGGAGUUGGUGCCGCCGAUAACGCCGGUCCCCCUGGAGGAGGAGGCGACUCCUCUUUUCAUUCGCACUCCAGCGUAUUAAUUGCUUUUUAAUGUUUCCCUUCUCUGCUGAAAGUUGUUUUGCGUACUAACAAAUCAACAAUAAUAAGGUUCUUUCGGGCUGUUUGCAGGCCAGAGCCAAGACUAAAAGGGUACAGUCACUGAAUAAUCCAUGCAUUGGAAUGAAGGAUUCGAGCUGGUAACAGAAGAGUUGUAACAGGAGGCCAUUUGGCUUUCUUUCUGCUUCGUCCCAAGUGUCCUCCGCUGCCAGCUGUGCGAAUGUCGCAGAAUGGGACUUUGUGGGAGCGAGACUGGGAAGACGUAAUACUGAAGCAACUAAUACAUCUAACUCAAUGAAGCAUUGUGACAUGCCGCUUCCCCCUUGAGCCACAACUUUGGGCAAAAUUUGAGUUUUUAGCAUUUAUAAUUUAUCCACACAGCUCCGUAUCCCAUGCCUUAGUGCCUCUGCGAAAUAGAUAUGAUGUUAAUCAUUACAAUUUCGAAAAUUAGGAAGGGGAAAUUACAAUAGCUCCUUUUUAUCAACUCACACUGUGACAUGUUUUUAUUGUAGGCUGAAACAUUUUCAGACAAAAGGUUUCAGCCACAUAGAUAUUUUAAUCACUUGGGAUUGGUUUUGCCUCAUCAUUUUUGAUAAUAGCAAGAGCUCUCCUCAUGCAGCAUGAGGGGGACUGUCGGAUUGGUAUAAGAAGUAACAAAUUACGUGAUUAAUUUGUUGCAGGCUUUAGCAGCCCUUUGACGUCUCUGCUCAGUAGCCUACAGCAGAAACAAGAGCUCUCACUGCUUAAGCUGUUAACCUACAACUUGCCGCUGCCCGCAACAUGAUUCCUACUCGUAACACACAAGGGAAGGACAAGCAAGGUAAUAAGACGUAUUUAUAAUUUUGUAAAAAGAAAGAGCUCAUAACUGAACCACAUGGUCAGCAGACUUAAUUAAACCAUUGAAAUAACACAUUUAGCGCUGUCUGUGAUUUGUUUAGGAUAUCUGGUUUAUUCUUCUACAACAUAUGGUCCCAAGAUACGGCGGUUCUUUUUUUUAUUGAUAUUCUUUCGAAAAUAGCAACUCACAAUAGUCAGAAAAGUUACUAUUAUACAAUUAAACAAUGACAUUGAGACCAUUAGGCAAUGUCUUGGUUCUUUUAUAUGCAUGUUGGACUUCUAUACUUCUUCAUACUUCAUCUUCCAACAUAUCUUUAAGCCUAGAAAAUAAAAGUACAGUUUGCUUGGAAAGAACAAGUUUUCAAAUGCGCGGCCAGGCAGCAACAGUGCAUUGAGUGAGGAACGCACAGGGUGCAGGGGGGGGUCAUCAGCGAGUGUUUGGAGCUUGAGUUACAGGGCCAGCAUCUGCCAUCCGGCCAUCAGGCCCUCAUAUCCAUCACUGGCCGAUGGCGUGGUGCAGCCCGGCGUUUAUAAAAACACCCAGAGGAAAUGGAGUCUCUGGGCCAGACAAGAAUAAAAUUAGCUUGAUGACUAAGUUCCUCCUCAGGUCCCGGCGGGAAUAGAACUCUGCCAUUUGUUUUCAUUACUUCCC
Molecule: long non-coding RNA, 1906 nt
Organism: Gasterosteus aculeatus aculeatus (three-spined stickleback)
Lineage: Eukaryota; Metazoa; Chordata; Actinopteri; Perciformes; Gasterosteidae
Source: Ensembl